This 253-nucleotide ribosomal RNA is filed under the name uncultured bacterium. Its description in RNAcentral is "partial 16S ribosomal RNA". It matches the Rfam family "Bacterial small subunit ribosomal RNA", at positions 524 to 776 of the family's 1533-position model. The record is from RNAcentral.
UACGAAGGGGGCAAGCGUUGUUCGGAAUCAUUGGGCGUAAAGCGUGCGCAGGCGGUUGUGCAAGACCGAUGUGAAAUCCCCGGGCUUAACCUGGGAAUGGCAUUGGUGACUGCACGGCUAGAGUGUGUCAGAGGGGGGUAGAAUUCCACGUGUAGCAGUGAAAUGCGUAGAGAUGUGGAGGAAUACCGAUGGCGAAGGCAGCCCCCUGGGAUAACACUGACGCUCAUGCACGAAAGCGUGGGGAGCAAACAGG